Long non-coding RNA from Oreochromis aureus, 528 nucleotides. RefSeq lists it as uncharacterized. The record is from RefSeq and is a predicted model, not a curated record. The transcript is spliced from 2 exons. NCBI's taxonomy places the organism in Eukaryota, Metazoa, Chordata, Actinopteri, Cichliformes, Cichlidae.
GCCACAAGGGAAAUCAAAUAAGAAACAACUUAACAGAGCAACCCAGGAACCAUGGCCUAAAUAAAGAAAUACAAAAAUACACGAGAACCAAGAAUGCUGGGCCAACAUGGCCCAGGAUCAUGACAGGUCCAUCAUCUGCCUGAGGGCGAUGCUGUCACUCUGCAUUGCAUAUAUAGGGAGACUUCUUUUUCCAACCUCACAGCUAAAUUUUAUAAAGAUAACCUCCUCAUUGGGCACAGCUCCACAGGAGUCAUGACUAUCCCAAAGAUUUCAAAGUCUGAUGAAGGUUCCUACAAAUGUAAUGUCUCUGGUACUGGAGAAUCAACAUACAGCUGGCUGUCUGUCAGAGGUGGGCAACCUGAACCUUUUCACUCCCCUCUACUGCAUGACUCACUUCCUGUAUUGAGGGUUUCCGUCUCUCUGGCUGUGGUGAUGGUGCUGCUGCUGUGACUACAGCAGCCACAAAGAUCAGUUUGUUUCUCAAACAUUUGAUGAAUUUAUUUUGAAAUAAAAUUAAAGAAAUUCUAA